RNAcentral lists this long non-coding RNA (380 nucleotides) under Trifolium pratense (red clover). RNAcentral describes it as "long non-coding RNA (TPRA_LNC014335)". Lineage: Eukaryota; Viridiplantae; Streptophyta; Magnoliopsida; Fabales; Fabaceae. The record is from RNAcentral.
UAGCAUAUUUGAUUAAUCAUUAAAAUGGUGUAUCACACAUGAAUUGUCUUGAUUCAUUUUACCAGAACACCCUGAGGUGAGCUGUUUCAGAGGUGUCUGACUAAUCUGUAUAUGAUGUCAAAAGCAUCGACAGUUAAAUUCACAAUUAGAUUAAACCCUCAAAUGGAGUCGAUUGCAGGAUUCAUCAUAUGGAAUCAAUCAAAGCAAUAAUUAUUAAAUUAGUGGUGUAUGAUAACCACAAUUAAAUCGACUUACUGACAUAUGCAUAAUUCUUGCCUAACCUUCAAAUCCAAAACUUGGGGAACUUCCUAACCAUCUAAGUUCUUUCAUUAUUCUUUGUAUGAACAUAGUCCAUACGAUUAUGUGUAGCUAAAAUCAUG